Molecule: non-coding RNA, 29 nt
Filed under: Bombyx mori (domestic silkworm)
Lineage: Eukaryota; Metazoa; Arthropoda; Insecta; Lepidoptera; Bombycidae
Source: RNAcentral
UUCUAAUGAAAUACGUACUCAACAAAUGU